ACAUAUCAAUAAGCGGAGGAAAAGAAACCAACAGGGAUUGCCUCAGUAACGGCGAGUGAAGCGGCAACAGCUCAAAUUUGAAAUCUGGCUCCUUCGGGGCCCGAGUUGUAAUUUGCAGAGGAUGCUUCGGGUACGGGUUCCUUCCGAGUUCCCUGGAACGGGACGCCAUAGAGGGUGAGAGCCCCGUCUGGUAGGACACCCAGCCCGUGUGAAGCUCCCUCGACGAGUCGAGUAGUUUGGGAAUGCUGCUCUAACGGGAGGUAUACUCCUUCCAAGGCUAAAUACCGGCUGGAGACCGAUAGCGCACAAGUAGAGUGAUCGAAAGAUGAAAAGCACUUUGAAAAGAGAGUCAAAUAGCACGUGAAAUUGUUGAAAGGGAAGCGCUCGCUACCAGACAUGGGUUCGGCGGUUCAACCGGGGCCACGCCCCGGGGCACUCCGCCGGCCCAGGCCAGCAUCAGCUUUCCGUCGGGGGCAAAGGCGUCGGGAAUGUGGCUCUCCUUCGGGGGAGUGUUAUAGCCCGGCGUGUCAUACCCUUCGGGGGGCUGAGGUACGCGCUUCUGCAAGGAUGCUGGCGUAAUGGUAGCUAGUGACCCGUCUUGAAACACGGACCAAGGAGUCAACCUUAUGUGCGAGUGCCCGGGCGUAAAACCCCAGCGCGGAAUGAAAGUGAACGUAGGUGAGAGCUUCGGCGCAUCACCGACCGAUCCUGAUGUCCUCGGACGGAUUUGAGUGAGAGCAUAUAGGGUUGGACCCGAAAGAAGAUGAACUAUGCGUGUGUAGGGUGAAGCCAGAGGAAACUCUGGUGGAGGCUCGCAGCGGUUCUGACGUGCAAAUCGAUCGUCAAACAUGCGCAUGGGGGCGAAAGACUAAUCGAAUCUUCUGGUAGCUGGUUUCCGCGAG
Molecule: ribosomal RNA, 902 nt
Filed under: Gibellulopsis nigrescens
Lineage: Eukaryota; Fungi; Ascomycota; Sordariomycetes; Glomerellales; Plectosphaerellaceae
Description: LSU rRNA
Rfam family: Eukaryotic large subunit ribosomal RNA
Source: RNAcentral